GUCAGGAUGGCCGAGCAGUCCAGGGCUCUGGUUCAGGUCGCAGCCUUCCCUGGAGGCGUGGGUUCAAAUCCCACUUCCGACA
Molecule: transfer RNA, 82 nt
Filed under: Ovis aries (sheep)
Lineage: Eukaryota; Metazoa; Chordata; Mammalia; Artiodactyla; Bovidae
Rfam family: tRNA
About the family: Transfer RNA (tRNA) molecules are approximately 80 nucleotides in length.
Source: Rfam by way of RNAcentral